RNAcentral lists this ribosomal RNA (885 nucleotides) under uncultured archaeon. Its description in RNAcentral is "bacterial SSU rRNA". It matches the Rfam family "Archaeal small subunit ribosomal RNA", at positions 31 to 926 of the family's 1478-position model. The record is from RNAcentral.
CCUUGGAUGAACUAGCAUGCGAGUCAUUGUAGUAAUACAAGGCAGACGGCUCAGUAACGCGUAGUCAAUCUACCCUAUGGACGAGGAUAACCUCGGGAAACUGAGAAUAAUACUCGAUAGAACACUAUGCCUGGAAUGGUUUGUGUUUGAAAUGAUUUAUCGCCGUAGGAUGGGACUGCGGCCUAUCAGUUUGUUGGUGAGGUAAUGGCCCACCAAGACUAUUACAGGUACGGGCUCUGAGAGGAGUGGCCCGGAGAUGGGUACUGAGACACGGACCCAGGCCCUAUGGGGCGCAGCAGGCGAGAAAACUUUGCAAUGUGCGAAAGCACGACAAGGUUAAUCCGAGUGGUUUCUGCUAAAGAAACCUUUUGCCAGUCCUAGAAACACUGGUGAAUAGGGGGUGGGCAAGUUCUGGUGUCAGCCGCCGCGGUAAAACCAGCACCUCAAGUGGUCAGGAUGAUUAUUGGGCCUAAAGCAUCCGUAGCUCGUUUUGUAAGUUUUCGGUUAAAUCCAUACGCUCAACGUAUGGGCUGCCGGGAAUACUGCAUAACUAGGAAGUGGGAGAGGUAGACGGUACUCGAUAGGAAGGGGUAAAAUCCUUUGAUCUAUUGAUGACCACCUGUGGCGAAGGCGGUCUACCAGAACACGUUCGACGGUGAGGGAUGAAAGCUGGGGGAGCAAACCGGAUUAGAUACCCGGGUAGUCCCAGCUGUAAACUAUGCAAACUCAGUGAUGCAUUGGCUUGUGGCCAAUGCAGUGCUGCAGGGAAGCCGUUAAGUUUGCCGCCUGGGAAGUACGUACGCAAGUAUGAAACUUAAAGGAAUUGGCGGGGGAGCACCACAAGGGGUGAAGCCUGCGGUUCAAUUGGAGUCAACGCCGGGAAUC